GAAAUGCGAUAAGUAAUGUGAAUUGCAGAAUUCAGUGAAUCAUCGAAUCUUUGAACACACAUUGCGCCCCCUGGUAUUCCGGGGGGCAUGCCUGUUCGAGCGUCAUUUGUACCCUCAAGCUCUGCUUGGUGUUGGGUGUUUGUCCCCGUCUCCGCGCGUGGACUCGCCCCAAAGUGAUUGGCAGCCGGCGUACUGGUCCCGGAGCGCAGCACAUGUCGCGCAAACGAGUGCCUUGGUACGGCGGCGUCCAUAAGCCCCUCUCUCACGCUCUUGACCUCGGAUCAGGUAGGGAUACCCGCUGAACUUAAGC
RNAcentral lists this unclassified non-coding RNA (310 nucleotides) under plant metagenome. Its description in RNAcentral is "partial contains 5.8S ribosomal RNA, internal transcribed spacer 2, and large subunit ribosomal RNA". The stretch from base 1 to 105 matches the Rfam family "5.8S ribosomal RNA", at positions 50 to 154 of the family's 154-position model. The record is from RNAcentral.